AGUAGUUGAAACCCUAGCUCAAAACUUUCUUCUUCUUUCCUCUCAGCCGCAGCUUUUGCUAUACGGUUUUGCAAUGUCUUAGAUCUUAUUUUCUUUCAAGCUUCUAUCGAUUAUCACCUGUGAAAUCUUAAUUUGUUGAUAGUUUUCAUCUUCCCACCGAAGAGAGGUACUUUUAGUAUUUGUUUUUUUUCUAUUAUUUCCCCCUUUUUCAUAUGUCGUCUCUUCUAUUUUUUUUUGCCGCGACAGCGGGAUCUUACUUGCUAGUCUUCAUUUCCAAUUUGUAGGGUGAAUAGGUAAAAUUUUUUGGGCGAUUUAAAUCUCUUUUGGUGCUCUAUAUUUUUUUUCGUCGUGUAGCAAAGAAAGGUUCGUAUUUUUUUUAUUUUCGUAUUUUAGUUUGGAUCAUUUCUGGGAUUCGAUAUUUUUUUUAGGCGUAUGUCGAGGUUGCUCGAAGGAUCGUUCGAUUUUUUUAUCGGUUCUCACCCGUGAAAUCUUUUUUCAUUGUUGGUUUUUAUCUUCAUACUAGAGAGGUAAGUUUUUAUUCUUGAGUUAUUUUUCACUUUAAUAAUUUGUUGAAUCUCUGUACGGGGUCUUUUUUUAUUUUUAUUUUUAUUUUUGGGAGGGGGGUGUUCUAGCAUGUGGAAUCUUGCUUCACUAAUCUUCAUUCUGGGUUGUAGCAAGAAUAGAUAUAUUGUUGUUGCCGUUUAAGUCUACUUUUGUACUCUUGUGUUCCCUUUAGUUUUGCAAUGGAGAAAGUUAUUUGUUUUUUGUGUAGUUUGUUCUGUAUGUGCCCUACUUUCGGUUUUUGCGAGAUUAAUGUUUCUUCUUCUGACUUUUCUAUUGUUUUCUCUUUCCAUCAGUUUAUUUAAACUUAUUAACUGUCUGUGAGGUUAUAGAAGAACGUAGGAAAAAUAAGGAACUAAAGCUCGCCAUAAUUGUGUUAUGGCUGCAAAACUUUAUUUAAUGCUAUUAUAGUGAGCGUUUAUUUUUCUUAAUUCAUUUCUGUCCAUUGAAUGACCAAUUUUUGUUGUUAAUGUCUACGUAUGGUAUUUUCACUAUUUAUUCAGCAAGAUAUGGUAUUUAUUUUCACUAGAGAGGCAAUCUUUCUAUUUUGGAGUCAUUUUUCCCUCUCCUAAUUUCUUGAAUCCCUUACUUUUGGAUUUUUUCUUUUCUUGGAGCUUUAGCAUCUGCGAUAUUGCCACACUGAUCUGUAAUCUGGGUUUUAUCAAGAGUAUGUAUAUUGUUGUUGACGUUCAAGUCUAUCUUUUUACUCUUAUGUUCCCUUUAGUUUUGCAAUGGCGAAAGGGUUUUUCUUCUUCUGUUUUUUUUUCUGUAGCAGAAGAAUGUGCUUUUCCUUUCUCUUAGAUUGAUCCAUAAAUUUUAUGCUUCCUACACGUAGACUGUGAUUUUUAUGUUCGAUUCUUUCUUCUGGGUACUUGCUUAAGUUCCAGAUUGAUAUGUAUUUUCAAUUUUUCUAUUUCUUGGGUGCAUAUUUAUGUUUUUUUGUUGGGGGAUGUUCAUUAUAUAUAUCCGUGUACAAUAAAAGAGGGACUUCAUUCUGGCACUAUUCAUCCGUUUUUUCCUUUAUUUUUUUUUAAACUUAGCCUGAUAUUUUAUCCUUCAACCAAUGUAGAUUUGCUAGAUGUUUUGCUUCUUUACUUUCACGCAACCCUCAUCCCUUCACAAUUGUAUCCCACCUUUACUCUUUCACUCCAUUUCGUCAUAGCUUUAUCUCACCUUCUCUGUUACACUCUUCCGACCGUUGUUCUCACUGUCGUUUGUCUACACAUUUUGAAGAAUCGAUUUUCAUUUUCUUGUUAAUUCUCGUUCUAUCGUUGAUUUCUUUCGGUGGCUUCUUGGUUCAACAUUUCGAUUGUAUAUUCGGUGAGAUCUAUGCUCCCUUUGUUCGUCUUUUUUUUUUUUUUUUUUAGAUUUGUGCGUUUCUCUUUAGAUCUAACAAAAGUCAGCCGAUACCUUCUCUCUUGAAAUGUAAUUUCGUCUCCGCGUUCUUCAUCAUUAUGGUUUGUAAUUUUUCCUUUUUAUAUUGUUGAUUUAUUUAUUUGAAAUAAUUCUCGAUUAGCAGUGCAAUGGUUCUUACUAUUUCUUGUACGUACAAAUCAGAUUUUGAGCUUUUCCAGUGAAGAGGCAAGAAUGAAAAUUCGUUCGUGUAACUGCACGGUGUCUUAUGUUGUGAUUUUUUUCGUUUCUUGUUCAUUCUUGGGUGAUUCUUGGAGCAUAUUGUAGAUGGGGGUAGGGGUGUGAGAAGAAGACUAUUUUUUUGAAUAAUUUUGACGGGGUUAUUAGCAAACAAGCUAUGAAGAAGAAUAGAACUACUUAAAAAGUCAUGUAUAAAUGUUGAAGAUAGAAGUGCAAAAGGAGUCGAACAUUGAACUGUGGGUGUAAUUUAUUGUUAGAAAUAUAGUGCAAACAUGGGGAUUAUCUAGAUUUAUAAGCUUGGCCAUGUAAAUUUCAUAAUCUUGAAAGAAGAUGGUUACCUUUGUCUUGUCCAUUAUUGUAAUCGAAUUGCUCUCUCUCUCUCUCUUCUAAAUUUAUUUAGGCUUUCUUAAAGGGUGAACCCCAACCUUGAAGGCCCCCACCGCCCGGCCCCUAGAGCUUUGUGAGGGAGGUAAAUCGCGGAAUGAUAAAUUAUUUAGGCUUUCUUUAUUCUACAUUGGGCGUUGAUAAAUUAUGCCUGUUCAUAAAACUGCCAGAACUGUAUUGUCUGUGUGUAUUUUCGUUCUGAGACUUUAUGUGUAAACUGAUUGUUAUGUAUUGAACUUUCGUUACUUCCCUAAUCAUAGUAGAAAAUUUUCAUACGUUGCAAAAUUUGCACAAAGAAGUAUCUGAUUGAUGUGGAUUUUUAGUACACAUUAAUGUGAGCUUUAAACUCGUCCAUCCUUAGUGUCCUUGUCCCUAUUGCUAUCCCUAUAGAACAAAAGAGAUACUUGAUUCUGCUGCUGUUCAUCCUUAAGUAACGUCAAGAAUUUUAUGCUGAAAGGAAAAAAAUAAAGGUGUGAUGGUAGGAGUAGAUGGUUUGAAUGCGUACAGGGUAAGUAUGUGUAAUGAUGUUCCUAAAUUUUUAAUUAUUUGGUAAAAUUAUUUAUUUUAGAAUUUUUGUGUAUUUCUUUGUAGUGAUUAAUUUGGAUUAAUUGUAUAUUUUUAUUUUUUAGUAUGGUUCCAUUGCUAUCUUAGAAUUUGGAAUUUCAAAGAUGGGUAUAGCUGAUUUCAAUGAUUUAGAAUAUAUUAUGUCAAACAGGGUUGAUCUACCACACCAUUUCUUUACAAUUAUCGCAAAUUCAUUGGACUAACGAUCGUCUGGUGAGUUCUAAAAUGAUCUCUUUGUUAGCAUUUAUUCAUUGGGCCAUAAUAUUUGUUUUGUGAGUUCUAAAACUAAAUAUAAAGUAAAUAAUAUUCCUUACAAGACUUAUGUUUUUUUAAGUCGAUCCCAAGAACUUUUUUGCACCGCUUGGGACACAAACAUACUGAUGCAGUACGUUUGAUUGGUUAUGAUGGAAUUAUCUACUUGUGAUGGUCAUAAAAUAAUUAUCACACCCAAGUUGUGGAUUCUGCUCAUUCUGAAUAGGUUGUACAAGAAAUUUGAUUUAAUUACUUAUAAUUAACCUAUGCGAUGAUAUCCUACAUUUGGACUUCGUGCAAUGCUACAUCAUCGUCAUUUGGAGACUGACAUGCUUCUAGCUCAAAUUAUUCCAAGUAGGUAAACAAUUUUAUGAUUUGUAAUUUUAUGAAUAAUAUACAAAAUUAUUUAUUCCCACUCUUAGUGUCUUUACGACAAUCUAAACAAUGAGAUAUUCUAAGUUUUUAUGAACGACAUUUUGUCAUAACUCAAAUGUUUGAUACUUUUCUCGUUUCCUUUAUUUUUGUUUUUCAAAAAUAUAACUUUGUGAAACUAAAAAUGUUUCCUCUCACUUAAUCUUGGCUCUAUUGUGUAACUAUUAUUCUAUGCAUUUCUACUUUAGUAUGUGUGAUUUCAUUCUUACACUUCUAUUUACUUAAUGAAGUAGCACAUUUUUCUGCAUGCACAUCUAGGGAGUCAAUUAUGGACAAUAGUGCUUGAGCCUUUUUCAAAGCAUUCAUUACUAAAUUUAGAAAGAACUCUCUCAAAUGCCUGCCAUAAUUUAAAAGAGCAAUCAAAUAUCUUCACGAAAAACUUUGCUUUCUUUAUAUCUACCAAAUGAACAUUAUAUAGCUCAAACCAACGAUAACUUUUUUGUUAAAAUAUUUGAUUGUUCUUUUAAAUUAUAUUGUGAUUUCGAGAGACUUCUUUCUAAUUUAGUGAUAACUACUUUGGAAGAGGCCCAAGCUCUAUAUUUUAACAUGAUAAUACAAUGAGGUGAUUCUUUAACUAACAUUUAUUACAUGGCAUUAUUUUUCCAUAGUACCAUUUGUUGCUUUUAUGUUCUAUUUUAGAAUGGACUUCAAAAGGUCAAUUUAAUUGACUCUAAUUAUGGGCCAAUACCUAGCCCCACAAAAUCCAUUUAAUUUUUCUUUGAUUUAUAUUCUUACUAAUAUUAUGCGGGUAAUAUUAUACAAGUA
This is a long non-coding RNA of Olea europaea var. sylvestris, 4551 nucleotides long. RefSeq lists it as uncharacterized. The record is from RefSeq and is a predicted model, not a curated record. NCBI's taxonomy places the organism in Eukaryota, Viridiplantae, Streptophyta, Magnoliopsida, Lamiales, Oleaceae. The transcript has 3 exons.